AUACGGAGGAUCCGAGCGUUAUCCGGAUUUAUUGGGUUUAAAGGGUGCGCAGGCGGCCAUUUAAGUCAGCGGUUAAAUCGUGGGGCUCAACCCCAUUCUGCCGUUGAUACUGGGUGGCUUGAUUGCGGUCGAGGUUGGCGGAAUUCGUUGUGUAGCGGUGAAAUGCAUAGAUAUGACGAAGAACACCGAUUGCGUAGGCAUCUGGCCAGACCGCAAAUGACGCUCAUGCACGAAAGUGCGGGGAUCGAACAGGAUUAGAUACCCUGGUAGUCCGCACAGUAAACGAUGAAUACUUGUUUUCGGCGAUAUAAUGUCGGAGGCAAAGCGAAAGCGAUAAGUAUUCCACCUGGGGAGUACGCCGGCAACGGUGAAACUCAAAGGAAUUGACGGGG
RNAcentral lists this ribosomal RNA (392 nucleotides) under uncultured bacterium. RNAcentral describes it as "partial 16S ribosomal RNA". It matches the Rfam family "Bacterial small subunit ribosomal RNA", at positions 523 to 918 of the family's 1533-position model. The record is from RNAcentral.